Molecule: ribosomal RNA, 433 nt
Filed under: uncultured bacterium
Lineage: Bacteria
Description: partial 16S ribosomal RNA
Rfam family: Bacterial small subunit ribosomal RNA
Source: RNAcentral
AACGAACGCUGGCGGCAUGCCUAACACAUGCAAGUCGAACGAGACCUUCGGGUCUAGUGGCGCACGGGUGCGUAACGCGUGGGAACCUGCCUUUAGGUUCGGAAUAACUCAGAGAAGUUUGAGCUAAUACCGGUUGAUGUCUUCGGACCAAAGAUUUAUCGCCUUUAGAUGGGCCCGCGUUGGAUUAGCUAGUUGGUGGGGUAAAGGCCUACCAAGGCGACGAUCCAUAGCUGGUCUGAGAGGAUGAUCAGCCACACUGGGACUGAGACACGGCCCAGACUCCUACGGGAGGCAGCAGUGUGGAAUAUUGGACAAUGGGCGAAAGCCUGAUCCAGCAAUGCCGCGUGAGUGAUGAAGGCCUUAGGGUUGUAAAGCUCUUUUACCCGAGAUGAUAAUGACAGUAUCGGGAGAAUAAGCUCCGGCUAACUCCGUG